Molecule: ribosomal RNA, 240 nt
Filed under: uncultured bacterium
Lineage: Bacteria
Description: partial 16S ribosomal RNA
Rfam family: Bacterial small subunit ribosomal RNA
Source: RNAcentral
AGUGGCGGACGGGUGAGUAACGCGUGGGUAACCUGCCUCAUACAGGGGAUAACAGUUAGAAAUGACUGCUAAUACCGCAUAAGACCACAGCACCGCAUGGUGCAGGGGUAAAAACUCCGGUGGUAUGAGAUGGACCCGCGUCUGAUUAGGUAGUUGGUGGGGUAACGGCCUACCAAGCCGACGAUCAGUAGCCGACCUGAGAGGGUGACCCGGCCACAUUGGGACUGAGACACGGCCCAA